UAGAGGCUCUUAAGAUUUGCAAUUUGGUUCAUGAGUGAUGCAUAAGAUAUACUAACCAACUAACACGCCUCAAUGGUGUAUCAUAAAGAUUUUCAGAUGAUACAUAUUGGAGAGUAUUAGGAUCACUUUUCAUUUAGUAUCCUUUCCCUCUCCUUUAGUUAUAGAUUUAUGCGAUUAAGUUCCAUUUAAGAGUUUAGAAUUUGAAGAUAAUGUUCAAUAAAAUUGUCAAUCUCAAAAAUAUAUUUUCUAUAAGUUUCAGCUUAUUUUCAUAAGACUCAAGGUUUGAGAUAAGACAACCUUUAUAGAGCUCAUCUCAAGGUAAUUAAAGCAUGUCUUGCAAUAUAAGGAGG
Molecule: long non-coding RNA, 350 nt
Filed under: Phoenix dactylifera (date palm)
Lineage: Eukaryota; Viridiplantae; Streptophyta; Magnoliopsida; Arecales; Arecaceae
Description: long non-coding RNA (PDAC_LNC003759)
Source: RNAcentral